UACGUAGGGUGCGAGCGUUAAUCGGAAUUACUGGGCGUAAAGCGUGCGCAGGCGGUUCGUUAAGUCAGAUGUGAAAGCCCCGGGCUCAACCUCGGAACUGCAUUUGAAACUGGCGGACUUGAGUAUGGCAGAGGGGGGUGGAAUUCCGCGUGUAGCAGUGAAAUGCGUAGAGAUCGGGAGGAACACCAGUGGCGAAGGCGGCUACCUGGACCAGCACUGACACUGAAGCACGAAAGCGUGGGGAGCAAACAGG
This 253-nucleotide ribosomal RNA is filed under the name uncultured bacterium. RNAcentral describes it as "partial 16S ribosomal RNA". It matches the Rfam family "Bacterial small subunit ribosomal RNA", at positions 524 to 776 of the family's 1533-position model. The record is from RNAcentral.